UGCAACGCUCACAAUAUCUCCUGGUUGCACUUGCUGUGCCAGUUCUUUCAGGUUCUCGUUUACGCGAUCCGCUACAAGUAAAAGCCAAGAUUUCAGGAAGAGCUGAUGCCUGACAUACCAAGCUGUGUUUCCCGGGCAGACGGGGCAAGAAGGCAGACUGUGUUUGGAGGAGGUUUGGUGCUUAGCCUUUCGCUCUGUACUUCCUGGAGUUCUCUGAGAAGACCGGUGGUUUCAUCAAGCUUCUUUUGGAACCGUUCUGCUUCUGCAAUGUUUAAAGUUAAAUAAUAAAUAUACAUAAUUCC
Spea bombifrons (plains spadefoot toad) is the source of this 302-nucleotide long non-coding RNA. RefSeq lists it as uncharacterized. Lineage: Eukaryota; Metazoa; Chordata; Amphibia; Anura; Pelobatidae. The transcript has 2 exons. The record is from RefSeq and is a predicted model, not a curated record.